AAAUUGCAGUUGAUANUGUCAGUCUUGAGUACAGUAGAGGUGGGCGGAAUUCGUGGUGUAGCGGUGAAAUGCUUAGAUAUCACGAAGAACUCCGAUUGCGAAGGCAGCUCACUGGACUGCAACUGACACUGAUGCUCGAAAGUGUGGGUAUCAAACAGGAUUAGAUACCCUGGUAGUCCACACAGUAAACGAUGAAUACUCGCUGUUUGCGAUAUACAGUAAGCGGCCAAGCGAAAGCAUUAAGUAUUCCACCUGGGGAGUACGCCGGCAACGGUGAAACUCAAAGGAAUUGACGGGGGCCCGCACAAGCGGAGGAACAUGUGGUUUAAUUCGAUGAUACGCGAGGAACCUUACCCGGGCUUAAAUUGCAGUGGAAUGAUGUGGAAACAUGUCAGUGAGCAAUCACCGCUGUGAAGGUGCUGCAUGGUUGUCGUCAGCUCGUGCCGUGAGGUGUCGGCUUAAGUGCCAUAACGAGCGCAACCCUUAUCUUCAGUUACUAACAGGUCAUGCUGAGGACUCUGGAGAGACUGCCGUCGUAAGAUGUGAGGAAGGUGGGGAUGACGUCAAAUCAGCACGGCCCUUACGUCCGGGGCUACACACGUGUUACAAUGGGGGGUACAGAAGGCAGCUAGCGGGUGACCGUAUGCUAAUCCCAAAAUCCUCUCUCAGUUCGGAUCGAAGUCUGCAACCCGACUUCGUGAAGCUGGAUUCGCUAGUAAUCGCGCAUCAGCCACGGCGCGGUGAAUACGUUCCCGGGCCUUGUACACACCGCCCGUCAAGCCAUGGGAGCCGGGGGUACCUGAAGUACGUAACCGCAAGGAUCGUCCUAGGGUAAAACUGGUGACUGGGGCUAAGUCGUAACAAGGUAACCA
This 872-nucleotide ribosomal RNA is filed under the name uncultured bacterium. RNAcentral describes it as "bacterial SSU rRNA". It matches the Rfam family "Bacterial small subunit ribosomal RNA", at positions 618 to 1502 of the family's 1533-position model. The record is from RNAcentral.